UAGGGAAUCUUCCACAAUGGACGCAAGUCUGAUGGAGCAACGCCGCGUGAGUGAAGAAGGUUUUCGGAUCGUAAAGCUCUGUUGUUGGUGAAGAAGGAUAGAGGCAGUAACUGGUCUUUAUUUGACGGUAAUCAACCAGAAAGUCACGGCUAACUACGUGCCAGCAGCCGCGGUAAUACGUAGGUGGCAAGCGUUGUUCGGAUUUAUUGGGCGUAAAGCGAGCGCAGGCGGAAUGAUAAGUCUGAUGUGAAAGCCCACGGCUCAACCGUGGAACUGCAUCGGAAACUGUCAUUCUUGAGUGCAGAAGAGGAGAGUGGAAUUCCAUGUGUAGCGGUGGAAUGCGUAGAUAUAUGGAAGAACACCAGUGGCGAAGGCGGCUCUCUGGUCUGCAACUGACGCUGAGGCUCGAAAGCAUGGGUAGCGAACAGG
RNAcentral lists this ribosomal RNA (429 nucleotides) under bacterium. RNAcentral's name for it is "partial 16S ribosomal RNA". It matches the Rfam family "Bacterial small subunit ribosomal RNA", at positions 355 to 776 of the family's 1533-position model. The record is from RNAcentral.